RNAcentral lists this ribosomal RNA (402 nucleotides) under Verrucomicrobiota bacterium. RNAcentral describes it as "Verrucomicrobia bacterium partial 16S ribosomal RNA". It matches the Rfam family "Bacterial small subunit ribosomal RNA", at positions 355 to 776 of the family's 1533-position model. Lineage: Bacteria; Pseudomonadati; Verrucomicrobiota. The record is from RNAcentral.
UGGGGAAUUUUGCACAAUGGGGGAAACCCUGAUGCAGCGACGCCGCGUGAUUUAGAAGGCCUUCGGGUUGUAAAAAUCUUUUGUAUGGGAAGAAAAUGACAGUACCAUACGUAUAAGGACCGGCUAAUUACGUGCCAGCAGCCGCGGUAAUACGUAAGGUCCGAGCGUUGUCCGGAAUCAUUGGGCGUAAAGGGUACGUAGGCGGAUAAGCAAGUUAGAAGUGAAAUCCUAUAGCUCAACUAUAGUAAGCUUUUAAAACUGCUCAUCUUGAGGUAUGGAAGGGAAAGUGGAAUUCCUAGUGUAGCGGUGAAAUGCGCAGAUAUUAGGAGGAAUACCGGUGGCGAAGGCGACUUUCUGGCCAUAUACUGACGCUGAGGUACGAAAGCGUGGGUAGCAAACAGG